ACUAGAGAGUGUUGUUGCCAGUGGGGAAGGUACAAGGAAGACGGGGAGGGCUUAGGGGGACACUUUCUCUUGUCUUCUUGUGCAUCAAAGCUGCUGCAGAUUUUGUUGUUGUUCCUUUCUUUGCUGUGUGGUGGUGGUGAUGGUGGCGGCAGUGUCAUUUGGUCUUCAGCUUCUGUCUGUUUUCGUUGUGUCAUGUCUGAGCGUGUUGUGUUUGGGUCCUCCUGCUUUGAGUCCAUGUAGGGCACUGUCGGAAUGCAUUCCAGGACCCAUCAUUGUAAUUUUUCUUUCUUUUAAGAGGGUGUGUUGAGAAAUCUGCCAGGUUGUGAUGGAACUGUUAGUGGUCCGUGCUCUGAUUCCCAGGUGCCUGGAGUGUUGGCCAUGUGCAUCUUCCUACCAGUGGUUAUGUUGCUCAGCAUUGCCCAGGGUGGCAAUGUAGGGUUGGCAUGUCAUGGCCUGGCAUGGCAUAGCCUAGCAGGCUUCUCCUGUGCUUGGGCAGGGGAUGGGCUGUCCAGGGGCGCUAGCCACUCGUACCUCUGCAAUCCAUGGAAGCACAGCAGGGUCUCCUUGUCGACUCUGGUGAGGUACGGUUAGUUCGCAGGCAAGAAAAGCCACAGUCCCUCGUCGUUCAGGAGUGUCCGGCGUGUGCUUGCUGUGCACAGCGAGCCCGAGUCGCGCAAAUGUUUGCAGCCUCUUUGGGCACACUUGGUUACCAUGUGUUACCAGAGCAACUUUUCACUGAAGAGAAACAGGGAGUACCAGAAAUGAGAAUGGAUAUUUGGCUUUUCAUCUGCUGAAAGCAGAAGUCUUUUGUGAGGGCUGAUAAAUAUGUACUUUCUUCUGUUUUUCUGCUUCAUAAGGCCUGCCCUCAAUUGUCAUCAUUUGUCGUCUGUUAACAAUACGAGCUAUCCUCCACUAAGUGUGACUGUACAUUUUUUCCAUUCUGUUCUUAUUGCAUCAUCAGAAUUACAGGAAUCCCACAUUAAAGUCAUUUGCUAGGUGCCACCUAGACUAUGGAGCAGCUGAGACAGCUUCAUUCCUGGUGUAGCAGGUAGCAGCUGUGCUCCACAUGCUACAGGAGCCUCCUAAGAUGCAUCAUACCUUUCAGAGCCACCCUCUAUCACACAGGCCUGCCCCUCACACAAAUUCUUGUCCACCUCUCCUGGAAUACUGUCUCUAGGUAUUUACACCAUGAAGAAGUAAUGCUGGGUGGUUUCAGAGGAAAUGUCCUUAAUGACUUUUCCUGAGAGUAGACUAGGAUCAAUUCAUUUAGGGCACAUGUAGUUCUAGAUUCACAAUGACGGGAGGCUUCAUAUGGUGGUGUUUAAAGAACAUGCAUAAGUACCUCUGAAUCUGACUGUCCUAUUCAAAUGGACACACUGAGGGACACUCAUACCUAGCUUUUCAUCAAGAUGUAUGCUAAAUAUGGCAAAGUGUCUUGUGUCCCAUUUAAAACAAUAACUCUGGCUGCUUCUCCCACAACUUCGCCAUGAACUUUUUGUCAUGCUCCGCGAAUCAUAAGGUGGUACUAUGACUUUCAUCAGGGAACACACUCUUUGUAGUUGGUCAAUAUCAUGCAACCUGAGCCUAUUUCAACUAUAAUGAAACAUCAUUUCAAAAUAUAUCCCUGGCCAGAGUUUACCUGUCUCUUUGCUCCACUCACCCAGUGCACCAUCCUCUUUUACCUGAAGACAAGCGCCUUCUUGGGGAUUACAUGUUGCAUUGUAUUUUCGAAAAUUCCACCAGAGCAUCAUCUCAGAACAGAACUCACACUCAGCAUUUCCACACUCAGUUUCAUGGCAGUAGGCAAUGACCCUGCAUGUCCAGGGUCAUGUGCAUCCCUGUCCUCAAAUGCUCAACUGUUUCUUGCCUCAGCACAGCUAAACAGUUUCCCUCUUCUGGAACAUUUUGCGCACAGACAUCUGCAUCUCUCAAAUAUUUUCAGCUGCAAGGAAUCUUCCAUGGCAUUGUCUACUACAAUCUACUCUGCCCUUUCGGUAUUCCUAUGCCUUUUUCCUGGGUAGUUCCUUCAAAGCCUGAGUCAGUGCCUGCUGCCAUGUGCUUUCUAGGAGUCAGCUGGCCAACAGCGGUCAUUGUGCCAAGCAUCCUGUUUAAAUUGUGUCCAGGUCACAGCCAGUAGAUUGAAUGGAUAGAUAACUAUGUAUGCAAUAUUAUCUACAAACACAGGGGAAUUAUGAAGGUACACACAAAAGGCCAGGGAAAAGCAGGAGAUUUUAACAUUACGUAUUGUUACAUGGAAUUGUGCAUGUUACACGUUGUGCAGUGAAUAGUGAAAUAAGCAGAACAUACAUGGGAAAAUAUUACAUAUUGUUCCUGUGGUUCAUGAGCUUAGGGACUGAAUCUGGAAGUCCAGAGGUACCCGGUGUAAAAUUUUGCUGACUAUACUCUCCCUAAGAGACAAAAAUAAAUAUCCCCAAGGAAAGCCAUUUCUUUUCCUUCAUAUUUGGAUACUGUAGUGAUGGCCAGCUCUUCUGACUGUGCACUGUUUCUUUCUUUGCUGCCACAUUUGAUUUCUAGGUGCCAGGGCACUUAUACUGGACCAGCAGCUCAGUGCCUUGCUCAGUGACCUCUCUCUCAGGUGUGAUAGGAGAUCUGCCCUUGUUGUUGAAAGGCUACCAGAUUCCACUGCUUUUCAUGCUAGGUACAGUUCACCUAUCUGGGUUUUAGGCAGCAAAGGGAAGUAAAUACUAGCUGAUGCUCCCCAUCAGAUCUGCCUCCAGCCAUUCAUGUAAUCCUAGAAACCUCCAUGCUUUGACUCUGCCGAUUCUUUCACUCCUCCUGGGAACUGCUUCUUACCUGGCUCUCUCCCACAAAGUCUGUGCUCUCCUAGCUCCAAGUCUUUACAUUGCUGUUGUGUCCUCGAAAGUCUUCACCACACCCAAGAACCUAGAAUUCCAUGUCCAAUUCCUAACCUGCAUCGGACUGGACUGUUCAUAGAACACAGUGACCACUACCUUUUAUUAACAACAAAUCAAAUCUGGAUAUCGACCAUAUAGUUGAACUGCACUAUGUACACCACAUCUAGGUUAGCUCACACUCUAUACUCAGCACAAUCACUGUGGAGAGACUUCCUCAUCAGCUGCCAAGCUACCAUGCAUCUGCCUCACCCAGGUUUGUCUAGAAAUUUAGAACUCUUUACCUGAGCAUGAUAUCACGCAACAAUAAUAAUUACUUCAUAUCCUCUGUGCUCUCUAAAGAAGAAACAGGCCCUCAUAAAAGCUGAUUGGAGCACCCAGCAGAGAAUCAAGGUCCUCCUGCCCACAGAGCUUCCCCUCAGUUCUGAAGCUCAGCAGCAAGUGCCAAUAUCUUUGAGACCACGAAUAGGAUAAAAGGCCCUUGAGGGUCAAGGAAGCUCCGCCCAGGCUUGUAGCCGGCAGGGGGCUCCUGCGAGCAGCGCCUCAGACCAGCGGCUUCAUCAAGUACACCUGUUGGACUCGCAACACAAGUCCAGCCUCGCAUCUCCACCCGCUCUCAAACCCCGGCCUUGGGCGACAGUGCGUGAGCGUUGCUGUCUCUUCGCGCUGAACCGCAGGUAAGACGGGUAGGGUCGGCUCUCCGGCUCCUGGCUGCUGUUCCUACUUUUCGCAGCUAGUCCACAGCCCCUUCCCAACUGAGGGCAGAGGCAACCUUGUGAAGCAGGAGGUUAGGGCCUGGCCAGCCUCUGGACAAGUGGGAGAGGCCUGUCAUUAUGAAGAUCCGAGACUCUGGCCUAACCACGGCGCCUGGGCACAGUAAGAAAAUGCUGUCCGAUUCUGGAUGAGAUCAAGCAGGGGUUGGGGUGGAGGUGGUGGUGGUUGCGUUUGUUAAAAGGACUGGAUUUUUUCUUUUUUUCUUUUCUCCUUUUUCCUAGCAGUGCUGAAGACUGAACCCGGGCCCUGGCUCAGCCUUGCUAGACAAGUGUUCAAUGCCUGAGCAUGCUCCACGCAUGCUUUUGAUAGAACCGAUAAUCUCUGAACUCAGCCUAGGGAGCGGGGGAUCCAAAAGACUUCCUCCAUUAACCUCCUACCCACUGUGUUCUCUUUAUUCAGUGGCCUCACUAACUCUGCAGAGCAUACUGCUUCUUCCAUUUUUCGUAAAUGUAAAACCUUGCUACCUUUUGAGCACUUCUCCAAUUCUUUAUUCAAAGGAAUCUGCAAAGAAUUGCUACAAGGAGCCCAGUAAUCUUUUUUAAAGACAGUCUCACUAUGCAGUUCAAGCUGGCCUUGAACUCCACAUAGACUAGGUUGGUCUCAAACUUGCAGCAAUUUUCCUGCCUCAGCCUCCCAAGUGCUGACCAGUAAAGUUUAAAGGCCCCUCAGUCCACAUUUCUCUUUAUUCUCUUUCUCAUUGAAGAUUGUUUAGGCCCCACAUUAAAUAUGGGGUUGAGGAGAGAACACUGGAUCCCCAAAUCCCUUUUAAGGCCACACUGCCCAAACACUUCUUUCCACUAGCCCUCAUGUUUUAAGAGCUCCACCACUUCCCUGUAGCACCACAAGCUGGUUUCCAAGCCUUUGGAGUAUGGGCCUGUGGGGGACAUUUUACAUCAAAACCAUAGCAAGCCAUAAGGUCGCUCAGUGUAAUGUCAAUUGAAAUAGGUCCCUGGAAAUCCAUGAGAGGUAUAUUAGGUAGAAUGGUCCAUGAGUCUGGGUUUCCUGAGGUUGCUCAUAUUUAUGGGCUCCUCUUUGAAGUGUUAUCUAAUGAGGGAGCUGAGUCUGAGUUUUCUCAUAUAGAUUGGGGACCAUUUAGUUGAGUCUGGGCUAUGCUAAUGGCAAAAGUAAACCCACAUGGGUACAACUGGACCUUCCUUAGCUAAAGCUACAUCACCUGGAGAUGGUCCAAUGGUUCCUGAGCUGACUCUGGGUCCUCUGAUUUAUGCAGGAUUCCCCUGGGUUGGGAAGCUGGUCCCCUGAGCUCAUUAUGGAUCCUAUGCACCAAAUGGAUUAUUUACAGUAUAUCUUGGUUCCAUGAUAUUUGAAUAAGUCUUUUCCCCUCAGGAGGAACUUGUGUUCCCAGAGGGAACUGUUCAAAGUUGGCAGGUCUCACUGUGCUUUGGAUUGUCAGGAGCCCGUGAACUGAAUCUGUGCACAGUGAUAUGUGGUAUGUAUGCAGUCUAAUGAGAUGGUUUUGAGACCUCAUGAGGUACAUCAGGUAUCUUCUCUGUGCAUGGGCCCACUGAUUAGAGUUACCCCCACCCAAGUUCUGAUGUAGGACUGUUGGAGCAUGACCACACAAAGUCUGAAGUGAGCCUGGAUACCUUGAGAUGAGACUUUUUCCAUUAAUUUGGCCUUGGUUCCUCUGAGUUAUA
This is a long non-coding RNA of Fukomys damarensis (Damara mole-rat), 5302 nucleotides long. RefSeq lists it as uncharacterized. The record is from RefSeq and is a predicted model, not a curated record. The transcript is spliced from 3 exons. NCBI's taxonomy places the organism in Eukaryota, Metazoa, Chordata, Mammalia, Rodentia, Bathyergidae.